This 429-nucleotide ribosomal RNA is filed under the name Bacteroidota bacterium. RNAcentral's name for it is "Bacteroidetes bacterium partial 16S ribosomal RNA". It matches the Rfam family "Bacterial small subunit ribosomal RNA", at positions 355 to 776 of the family's 1533-position model. The record is from RNAcentral. Lineage: Bacteria; Pseudomonadati; Bacteroidota.
UAGGGAAUCUUCCGCAAUGGACGCAAGUCUGACGGAGCAACGCCGCGUGAGUGAAGAAGGAUUUCGGUUCGUAAAACUCUGUUGUUAGAGAAGAACAGCGCAUAGAGUAACUGUUAUGCGUGUGACGGUAUCUAACCAGAAAGCCACGGCUAACUACGUGCCAGCAGCCGCGGUAAUUCGUAGGUGGCAAGCGUUGUCCGGAUUUAUUGGGCGUAAAGCGAGCGCAGGCGGUCAAUUAAGUCUGAUGUGAAAGCCCCCGGCUCAACCGGGGAUGGUCAUUGGAAACUGGUUGACUUGAGUGCAGAAGAGGAGAGUGGAAUUCCAUGUGUAGCGGUGAAAUGCGUAGAUAUAUGGAGGAACACCAGUGGCGAAGGCGACUCUCUGGUCUAUAACUGACGCUGAGGCUCGAAAGCGUGGGUAGCAAACAGG